AAGUUCUUAUACACUCUGUUUAUACUGCAGUACUGGCUUUGAUUUUUACUAAAAUUCUUAUAUUAAUUAAUGCAUAGUAUGUGUUUGAUAAAAAGUCUCUAAGAAGAAAAAAAUUUGUUGGUCUUGCUUUGUUCUUAUUUUUCUGUGAUUUUUUUCAAAGGGUGAGUAAUUUCAUAACAGAGUAGAGAGGUCAGUUUUAUACUCUCCCUUGCUUCUAAACUUUUUUCAAAGGGUGAGUAAUUUUAUUGACCUCUCUAUUUUUUUCAAAGGGAGAGUAUGUUACUUGACUCCUUGUUCUGGUGUGUGUACUUGUUCUGGUGUGUGCCUAUAAUAUAUAUCAUAGUGUAAGUUUUUAUUAAGUAUAAGUUUUUUCAUUUUUCAUGCUAAUUGUGUAAAUAUAGUAUGGAUACACAUAAGAAGAAAGUUUUGGCGGUUCCCCCUUCAACUAAUGAUUCCAAAGCUAACUGGACGGAUCCUAAAGCGACUGAGAGCUUCCUCAAAGCAUGUUUCGAUCAAGUUACCAAGGGUGAACGCGUUGGUACGUGUUUUACUAAGAAAGGGUGGAAAGGUAUUGUUUCUCAAUUCAAUGCUUUAACCGGAAGGAAAUAUGACAAGAUAAAAUUGAAGAAUAGGUAUGAUAAUUUGAGAAAGGAAUGGAGAGUAUGGGAUAACUUAUUUGGAAAAGUUACCGGAUUAGGGUGGAAUAGUGAGAAGAAUACCGUUGAUGCACCAGAUGAGUGGUGGGAGAACAAAAUAUUGGAAAAUCCUCUAUAUGGAAAAUUUAGAGACAAGGGACUUCCAUUUGCUCAAGAACUAACCACACUUUUCAAGGAUGUAGUGGCUACCGGAGAGUUUGCUUUUGCACCAUCAAGUGGCAUAUUACCACCUAAGGGGUACUCGAGUAACGAUGAUGAGGAUGUUUAUCGCCCAUGCCUAAAGAAUCUUGGGUUGGAUGUGGAGGAAGGCUCGGGUGAUAGUGAAGAUGCAAGUGUUGGAGCAACAACCGAAUUUAGAAAUAUUAAUUUGAAUACUUCACAAGGAGCUGCUAGCCAAGUUAGUGGACAAAAGAGGAAGAGAGCUAGUGGCGCUGAAAAGAAAGGCAAGAAAAAAUUUACUCCCUCGGUCGCAAUUGCUCAAGCUGUUUGCUCUAUAUUAAAAUGGAUGGUUGGAAUGAACACUUGGAACAAAAUACACAACAUGAUGAUGAUGAUGAUGUAAUUUUCGAAGAAGCUUCUCUUUUGGCUGCACUAGUUGUCGUUGUAGGUCAUGGUGUAGGCAAUAGAAUGAUUCAAGAAAGAUUUCAACACUCGGGUGAAACGGUAAGUAGACAUUUUCACCGAGUUCUUCAUGCUUGCCUUAAGUUGUCCUUUAAAUAUAUCAAACCCAAAGAUCCUAUGUUUCGUGAUUGUCAUGCCAAAGUAAAAAAUGACCAAAGUUAUUGGCCAUUUUUUAAGAAUGCUAUAGGAGCGAUUGACGGCACACAUGUGUCAUGUGUAGUUAGUGCUAGUGACCAACCCAAGUUUAUCGGAAGAAAAGGGUAUCCGACACAAAAUGUUAUGGCUGUAUGUGAUUGGAAUAUGUGUUUCACUUUUGUAUUAGCUGGUUGGGAAGGUACUGCCCAUGAUGCUCGUUUUUGAUCAAGCUCUUACAAGAGAGAGCUUAAUUUUCCCCAUCCUCCUCCUGGUAAGUAUUAUUUGGUAGAUUCUGGGUAUCCAACACCAGUCGGAUACAUCGGUCCCUAUAGAUGUGAACGCUACCAUCUUCCCGAGUUUAGGCGUUCAAGUGGAUUUGAAAAUCAUAAUGAAGUAUUCAAUUAUUACCACUCGAGUUUAAGAUGCACAAUAGAAAGAACUUUUGGGGUGUGGAAGAACAGAUUUGCAAUCCUACGUCGCAUGCCGAAGUUCAAAUAUGAAACACAAGUUCAAAUAGUAGUCGCAACAAUGGCAAUACACAACUUUAUCAGAAGAACUGCUGAAGUGGAUAGUGAUUUUAAUCUUUAUGAAGAUGAAAACACAGUCAUUCACCAUGAUGAAAUUCAUAGAUCAAAUAACUUGGAUCCGUCACAAGUUUUCAAUGUAGCUUCUUCGUCAGAGAUGGAUCAUGUUCGAGACUUAAUUCGUAAUCAGAUUAUAGA
Molecule: RNA transcript, 2134 nt
Organism: Trifolium pratense (red clover)
Lineage: Eukaryota; Viridiplantae; Streptophyta; Magnoliopsida; Fabales; Fabaceae
Gene name: L10-interacting MYB domain-containing protein-like
Exons: 5
Source: RefSeq, a predicted model, not a curated record